ACUCAGCUGACGAGUCCCAAACAGGACGAAACGUGCUUCCUGGAU
RNAcentral lists this non-coding RNA (45 nucleotides) under Schistosoma mansoni. Lineage: Eukaryota; Metazoa; Platyhelminthes; Trematoda; Strigeidida; Schistosomatidae. The record is from RNAcentral.